UUAUAAAAAACUAUUUUUAUAACAUUUUUUUAUAUUUUUUUAUUUUUAUAAAAAUCUAUUUGUAUUUAUUUUUUAUCAAAAUUCUUAUUUAUUAUUACAACAAAAUCCAUAAUAUUCAACAAAAUAUUUUCUUUCAACUCAACUAAACUAAGAAAAUCGCACACUCAACGAAAUCGCAUGAUAUUUUAUAGUUAGCUUGCAAUAAAUUUAUUUGCUAUCUCAGCAGCUCACCGAAUAUUUCGAUAUAAGACACUUUAAAAUAUAAUAGUUAAUUUAUAAUUUAUGAUAUUUAUAAAUUAAUAUUUUUAAUUAUAAAAUAACAGUAAAUAAUAUUUUAAUUAUUAUUAUUAAAUAUUAUAUUUUACUUUUGUACUUAUCUAAACAGCUAGCUUAUUGUAGCUUCCGAAGAUCGAACUCUCCCUAACGUGCUUUGAAAGUAAUUUGCAAUUACUAUCCCUUUUUUAAUGUAAACAUAACUUAUUUAUAUUAAUUUUAAAUAAAAAAGUAUUUACAAUACAGGUUUUAGUGACAGAUAACGGAUAUCUCAAUAAUCUUAAAAUCUUUUUAAUAAUAAUUUUCAGCAAUGGUCUCAAUAAGUUGAGCAUAUACUGUACAGAAAAAAAUAAAAUAAAUACUUUUAUCCAUAAUAACUUAUGUUUAAAACAAUUUCAUUAUAAUAAAUUGUUUUUUAAAUCAAAAAUUAGCUGCAAUAUAAUUGAUAUUUUUUUCGAAAAAUUCCUUAAAAAAUUUAAUAUAUUAAUUUUGAGAAUUUAGACUGUACAUACUUAUUUGUAUGUUAUGUUAAAGCUUUUUGCGUCUAUUUAAUCGAAAUGCACAUAAAUAGAAAAAUUGUAGAUUAAAAGUGGAGGUGUGGGUCGCCAAACAAUUUAAAUGAUAUAAAAAAAAAUUAAAAAUUCACAAAACGAACAUUAAAUUCCAAUAUAUACGUACAAAUAUUUAUUUAUAUAUAUUUUGCUAUUAUUUUUAUAUGAAUUUCGCUAAUUUUUUUUUAAUAAAAAUAUAAUUAAAUUAAAGAAAAUAUUUUUACAAUUUAAGUGAAAACCAAUUUAUAUUAGAACGAAAUAAAACUGAGUACCUUGAAAUCUCGCUAAAACUAUGUAUGUAUGUAUAAACGUAAUUUUAUUGUAUGUAUGAACUAUGUAGUAAAUAAAUAAAUUAAUAAAUAUGAAGAAAUUGGUGAGAAACUAUAUAAUAUAAUGAUAACAAUGAAAUGCAAAUGUAAAUAUUUGUUGACAUAAAUAUGAAGAAAAAAACUCAUUUGUGUAUGUGUAUGUUUGUAAAUGAUUUUUCAAAAUACAUAUUUUAAAUAUUUUAGUGGAUAACAUACAGAAUAGUCAAAGUAUUUACAGAAAUUCCGCCAACAUUUCCACCUUUUGUUUACGCUAUUUUUUUCAAAAUCAACAUUUAAAACUUCAUCAAUAGAAUUUUUCAAUAAAAUUGUAUGUGAAAAUUUGGAAAAAUAGAAAAAAAAGGAGCUUAAAUAUUUACGUAUAUGUAUAUGUUAAGAUGGUUGAUAAAGUGAUAAUAUUGUAUGGGACCAACUGUAAAUAUUAAUAGAAAUACGCUUAGAAAGCUCGACAUUUUUUUUCAGAAAUGAGUAAAGCUUAAUAUUGUUUUGUUGUUGUAAUAUCGAAAUCUCAAAACAAAUCCCGAAAUACUCAACAGAACAUAACUACGCGUUCAUUGUGGUCCUAAGAUCUAAUCCAUAUCUGAAAUCUGAGCAGAUUUGUGUAUUGCCAAGUACCUCAGUCAAAUAAUUAUAUGUGCAUGAACUUUUUGCAAAAAAAAAAUUAAAGAAUAUAAAAUUGCAAAAUAUUUCUGAGUAUGCAGGUUUGUUAUUAUUAAUGUAUACGAUAUAAAAAACAAAAAAUUAACAAAUUUCAAAAUAUUUUUUAAACUAUAAAACAAAAUUGAAGUUUAGGCUAAUGGUAAAUAUUUAUAUGUGCAUUUUACUAUUUUUACCAGUAAAGCCUAUACAUUUGAGUUUAACUGAAAGAAAUGUUUAUUUUAAUAGUAAGUAGAAUUGUCAUUAUAUUUUAAAACUAAAUUAAGCCGCUUAAUCAGAGAAUUAACUACUGACUGUAGAAUAGUUAUGUAAAUAUUGGCAAAUUCUUGCUUUAUGGCUAAUUUAAGGUGACGUACUGUCUCAAACUGCUUUCCGUUUUGGAAAACAGGAGCAGAGAGGUUCCCCCAGAGAUCC
Long non-coding RNA from Zeugodacus cucurbitae (melon fly), 2221 nucleotides. RefSeq lists it as uncharacterized. NCBI's taxonomy places the organism in Eukaryota, Metazoa, Arthropoda, Insecta, Diptera, Tephritidae. The transcript has 2 exons. The record is from RefSeq and is a predicted model, not a curated record.